RNAcentral lists this ribosomal RNA (468 nucleotides) under uncultured bacterium. RNAcentral's name for it is "partial 16S ribosomal RNA". It matches the Rfam family "Bacterial small subunit ribosomal RNA", at positions 28 to 507 of the family's 1533-position model. The record is from RNAcentral.
GACGAACGCUGGCGGCGUGCUUAACACAUGCAAGUCGAACGGAAAGGCCCUGCUUUUGUGGGGUGCUCGAGUGGCGAACGGGUGAGUAACACGUGAGUAACCUGCCCUUGACUUUGGGAUAACUUCAGGAAACUGGGGCGAAUACCGGAUAGGAGCUCCUGCUGCAUGGUGGGGGGUGGAAAGUUUCGGCGGUUGGGGAUGGACUCGCGGCUUAUCAGCUUGUUGGUGGGGUAGUGGCUUACCAAGGCUUUGACGGGUGGCCGGCCUGAGAGGGUGACCGGCCACAUUGCGCCUGAGAUACGGCCCAGACUCCUACGGGAGGCAGCAGUGGGGAAUAUUGCACAAUGGGCGGAAGCCUGAUGCAGCAACGCCGCGUGCGGGAUGACGGCCUUCGGGUUGUAAACCGCUUUCGCCUGUGACGAAGCGUGAGUGACGGUAAUGGGUAAAGAAGCACCGGCUAACUACGUG